This 1354-nucleotide ribosomal RNA is filed under the name uncultured bacterium. RNAcentral's name for it is "bacterial SSU rRNA". It matches the Rfam family "Bacterial small subunit ribosomal RNA", at positions 65 to 1416 of the family's 1533-position model. The record is from RNAcentral.
CAGCGCGGGAGUAGCAAUACUUCUGGCGGCGACCGGCAGAAGGGUGCGUAACGCGUGAACAACAUGCCCGUAACAAGAGGAUAACCCGGUGGAAACGUCGUCUAAUACUCUAUAUGAAUAUUUAUCGCAUGGUAAAUAUUUAAAAUUUUCGGAGGUUACGGAUUGGUUCGCGUCCCAUUAGGUAGACGGAGAGGUAACGGCUCACCGUGCCGACGAUGGGUAGGGGUUCUGAGAGGAAGGUCCCCCACAAUGGAACUGAGACACGGUCCAUACUCCUACGGGAGGCAGCAGUGAGGAAUAUUGGUCAAUGGGCGGAAGCCUGAACCAGCCAUGCCGCGUGCAGGAAGGAGGCCCUAUGGGUCGUAAACUGCUUUUGCCGCAGAGCAAUAAGAGAUACGAGAUAUCUUGAUGAGAGUAUGCGGUGAAUAAGCAUCGGCUAACUCCGUGCCAGCAGCCGCGGUAAUACGGAGGAUGCGAGCGUUAUCCGGAUUUAUUGGGUUUAAAGGGUGCGUAGGCGGCGUCACAAGUCAGGGGUGAAAAGCUAGUGCUUAACACUGGUCUUGCCUUUGAUACUGUGGUGCUAGAGUGCUCCUGCCGCAGGAGGAAUGAGUGGUGUAGCGGUGAAAUGCAUAGAUAUCACUCAGAACACCGAUUGCGAAGGCAUCUUGCGAAGGGGCGACUGACGCUGAGGCACGAAAGCGUGGGGAUCGAACAGGAUUAGAUACCCUGGUAGUCCACGCUGUAAACGAUGAUGACUAACCGCCGGCGAUAGAUGGUUCGGUGGCCAAGCGAAAGCGAUAAGUCAUCCACCUGGGGAGUACGACCGCAAGGUUGAAACUCAAAGGAAUUGACGGGGGCCCGCACAAGCGGAGGAACAUGUGGUUUAAUUCGAUGAUACGCGAGGAACCUUACCCGGGCUCGAACGGCUAGUGAACGGAGCAGAGAUGCCGAGGUCUCUUCGGGACGCUAGUCGAGGUGCUGCAUGGUUGUCGUCAGCUCGUGCCGUGAGGUGUCGGCUUAAGUGCCAUAACGAGCGCAACCCUUGUUGUUAGUUACCAUCAAGUAAAGUUGGGGACUCUAGCGAGACUGCCACCGCAAGGUGAGAGGAAGGGGGGGAUGACGUCAAAUCAGCACGGCCCUUACGUCCGGGGCGACACACGUGUUACAAUGGCGGUUACAGAGGGGGGCUACCUAGUGAUAGGGUGCUGAUCUUAAAAAACCGUCUCAGUUCGGAUCGGAGUCUGCAACUCGACUCCGUGAAGCUGGAUUCGCUAGUAAUCGCGCAUCAGCCAUGGCGCGGUGAAUACGUUCCCGGGCCUUGUACACACCGCCCGUCAAGCCAUGGAAGCUUGGG